Molecule: ribosomal RNA, 458 nt
Filed under: Loxosceles amazonica
Lineage: Eukaryota; Metazoa; Arthropoda; Arachnida; Araneae; Sicariidae
Description: partial 16S ribosomal RNA
Rfam family: Bacterial large subunit ribosomal RNA
Source: RNAcentral
UGCUAAGGUAGCAUAAUAACUUGCCUUUUAAUUUAAGGAUAGAAUGAAAGGAUUCAUGACUUUAUCUUUUUCUUUCGCUCUCUUAAUAAACCUUACCUACCAUUAAAAAGGCUGGUAUAAAAAAGAAGGACGACAAGACCCUAUAGAACUUCACUUUUGUUAAACUGGGGCGGUAAAAAACAACAUCUUUUUCUCCCCUCAAAAUAAAGACCUAAAAUAUUUAAAAAUGAGAACAAGUUACCUUAGGGAUAACAGAGCAAUUCUUCUCUAGAUUAACCAAAAGAAGAGUUUACUACCUCGAUGUUGAAUUAAUGCUCCUUUAUAAAAAAAUAUUAUACAAGGGGGUCUGUUCGACCCAUAAAACAUUACAUGAUUUGAGUUCAGACCGGCGCAAGCCAGGUCAGAUUCUAUCCUCUACAAUUUUAAUACAGUACGAAAGGACCUAUUAAUGAAUAAUA